UCAGCCAAAGAACGAGUUGCCGUUACAUU
Molecule: small RNA, 29 nt
Filed under: Bombyx mori (domestic silkworm)
Lineage: Eukaryota; Metazoa; Arthropoda; Insecta; Lepidoptera; Bombycidae
Description: ovarian small RNA-25670
Source: RNAcentral